RNAcentral lists this ribosomal RNA (254 nucleotides) under uncultured bacterium. RNAcentral describes it as "partial 16S ribosomal RNA". It matches the Rfam family "Bacterial small subunit ribosomal RNA", at positions 524 to 776 of the family's 1533-position model. The record is from RNAcentral.
UACGUAGGGGGCAAGCGUUGUCCGGAAUCAUUGGGCGUAAAGAGCGCGUAGGCGGUCCGGUAAGUCGGUUGUGAAAACUGGGGGGCUCAACCCUCAGAGGCCGACCGAUACUGUCGGGCUAGAGUCCGGUAGAGGAGUGUGGAAUUCCCGGUGUAGCGGUGAAAUGCGCAGAUAUCGGGAGGAACACCGGUGGCGAAGGCGGGUCUCUGGGCCGAUACUGACGCUGAGGAGCGAAAGCGUGGGGAGCGAACAGG